This 229-nucleotide ribosomal RNA is filed under the name uncultured bacterium. Its description in RNAcentral is "partial 16S ribosomal RNA". It matches the Rfam family "Bacterial small subunit ribosomal RNA", at positions 568 to 796 of the family's 1533-position model. The record is from RNAcentral.
UACGUAGGCGGAAAAUUAAGUCAGUGGUGAAAUCCUGCAGCUUAACUGUAGAAUUGCCAUUGAUACUGAUUUUCUUGAGUGCAGUUGAGGUGGGCGGAAUGUGUAAUGUAGCGGUGAAAUGCUUAGAUAUUACACAGAACACCGAUUGCGUAGGCAGCUCACUAAACUGUUACUGACGCUCAGGCACGAAAGCGUGGGGAGCGAACAGGAUUAGAUACCCUGGUAGUCC